This 66-nucleotide transfer RNA is filed under the name Neotoma lepida (desert woodrat). It matches the Rfam family "tRNA". Rfam says of the family: Transfer RNA (tRNA) molecules are approximately 80 nucleotides in length. Their secondary structure includes four short double-helical elements and three loops (D, anti-codon, and T loops). The record is from Rfam by way of RNAcentral. Lineage: Eukaryota; Metazoa; Chordata; Mammalia; Rodentia; Cricetidae.
GGGAAUUAAGUAGGUAAAAUGCUUGCCUUGCAAGCAUGAAGACUUGAGUUCCAUCCUCAGGACCCA